This 1605-nucleotide long non-coding RNA is filed under the name Olea europaea subsp. europaea. Lineage: Eukaryota; Viridiplantae; Streptophyta; Magnoliopsida; Lamiales; Oleaceae. The record is from RNAcentral.
CUUAUAUUCAAACUUCGAAUUUAAAAAGAGCAAUUGUGAUUCAUGUCUUUUCUAUAAUGGUGUAUGUGGUUAUAAAUAUAUUUAUCAGCUUCAAUAGGUUAAUGAUAUGUUGUUAGCAUGGUAUGAUGGGAAAGAAAUAGGUACAAUAAAAUCAAAAUUGAAAUCUGAAUUUGAGAAGGAAGAUCUAAUACAAGCAAAGAGAGAAUUUUAGGUAUGAAAAUUAGAAGAGAUAUAAAGAAUUGUAUUAUUUAUCUAAAUUAAUGUUAACAUGUAACCAAAGUGUCCAAAAAGUUUUUUAUGUCGGAUAUCGAACCUGUUUUUUUCUGUUUUUAACUAAUCAUUUUAAACUUUUUAAUGAACAAUUUGUAUAAGAUUGAUAAAAAAUUUGAUAGGAUGAAUAAAAUACCCGAUACUAAUACAAUUGGUUCUAUAACGUACCUUAAUUUGUAUAAGACAUGAGUGGGAUAAUCAUUUUAAGCAGGUUUAUGGCAAAUUCAUAUGAGAUACAGUGGAUAUCUAUAAAGUUGAUACUUAGAUACUUGAGAAGUUCACUUGAUUUGGGGUUAAAUUUUAAAAAACUUGAUGAAAGUAUUAUCUUGAAAUGUUACACUAACUUUGAUUUUGCAGGUGAUUUGGAUAAAAGAAAGUCCACUUCAUCUUAUAUUUUUGCACUUUGUGAUGGGAGUAUUAGUUGAAAAUUUUUUCUACCGAAGAUUGUAUUUUUAUCUUCAAUAGAGAUUGAAUAUAUGGCAGCAGCAUGCGAUGCUGUAAAAGGACUUUGGUUAAGGGAUUAUUUAGGGAAAUUGGAUUUAUUGAUAAAGUUGUUAGGUUAUAUAUAUAGAUAAUCAAAUUGAAAUUCCUUUAAGCAAUGAUCCUAUCAUGAUAAUAGAAAAAAGCGUGCUAUCAAAUUUUAUUUUGUCAAAAACAUGAUUGAGAAAUGUAUGAUUACAUUGGUUACAAUUCGAACCCAAUGUUUUCCAUUGAAUAAAUUUAGGAAUUGUUUAGGUUUUUAAAAUAUUACAAAUACGUAAUUUUCUUAUAAACAAUUUGUUUGUUCUAUAAAAUUGUUUGUUCUAUAAAGCUUUUUAAAAACCCUUGUUUUUUUUCCUCUCUAAUUUUGUUUUUACUGGUAUAGUGGAGAAAAAGAAAUAAUGGCAGGAGAAGUUCUUAGUACUAGAAUUGGGUAAAUAGUUCGGCAAUGUGGAGGCGGUUGUUGUGUGCUCACAGUUGACCAUUUGACUUGACAUCGAUGAAAAUGUGUUUUAUCAAAUCGCAUCCUUUGCUUUGUUAAAUGGAUUUAUCUUGGUCCUAGACGUGGAUUACUUCAUACAAACCGUUGAAGUAAACAAGAGCUUAAUAAAGAAAACAAUUAGAAGGAUCAAAUGUUCAAUUUAGCAAAACUCAAACUAUUGGAUAUCCGAUUGGAGUGUGAGACUAAAAAUGGUAAGUUGGAGAACAUAAUUGAAAAAUUAGCUCACUUGAUUUUAUGUAAUUCUAGAGUUCAGAUUCAUGCAAUGAUCAGGUUUCACUAAAAAGUUAGAUUAAAAUCGAAGUCAAAAUCAACAAUUAAGUUUAGCCAUACAUUAAAUUGGACCACAAUUUUUC